Molecule: ribosomal RNA, 449 nt
Filed under: uncultured bacterium
Lineage: Bacteria
Description: bacterial SSU rRNA
Rfam family: Bacterial small subunit ribosomal RNA
Source: RNAcentral
CGCGAACGCUGGCGGCAGGCUUAACACAUGCAAGUCGAGCGGGCGUAGCAAUACGUCAGCGGCAGACGGGUGAGUAACGCGUGGGAACAUACCUUUUGGUUCGGAACAACACAGGGAAACUUGUGCUAAUACCGGAUAAGCCCUUACGGGGAAAGAUUUAUCGCCGAAAGAUUGGCCCGCGUCUGAUUAGCUAGUUGGUGAGGUAAUGGCUCACCAAGGCGACGAUCAGUAGCUGGUCUGAGAGGAUGAUCAGCCACAUUGGGACUGAGACACGGCCCAAACUCCUACGGGAGGCAGCAGUGGGGAAUAUUGGACAAUGGGCGCAAGCCUGAUCCAGCCAUGCCGCGUGAGUGAUGAAGGCCCUAGGGUUGUAAAGCUCUUUUGUGCGGGAAGAUAAUGACGGUACCGCAAGAAUAAGCCCCGGCUAACUUCGUGCCAGCCGCCGCAGU